RNAcentral lists this ribosomal RNA (430 nucleotides) under Bacillus sp. R-30905. RNAcentral describes it as "bacterial SSU rRNA". It matches the Rfam family "Bacterial small subunit ribosomal RNA", at positions 28 to 447 of the family's 1533-position model. Lineage: Bacteria; Bacillati; Bacillota; Bacilli; Caryophanales; Bacillaceae. The record is from RNAcentral.
GACGAACGCUGGCGGCGUGCCUAAUACAUGCAAGUCGAGCGGACCGACGGGAGCUUGCUCCCUUAGGUCAGCGGCGGACGGGUGAGUAACACGUGGGUAACCUGCCUGUAAGACUGGGAUAACUCCGGGAAACCGGGGCUAAUACCGGAUGCUUGAUUGAACCGCAUGGUUCAAUCAUAAAAGGUGGCUUUUAGCUACCACUURCAGAUGGACCCGCGGCGCAUUAGCUAGUUGGUGAGGUAACGGCUCACCAAGGCGACGAUGCGUAGCCGACCUGAGAGGGUGAUCGGCCACACUGGGACUGAGACACGGCCCAGACUCCUACGGGAGGCAGCAGUAGGGAAUCUUCCGCAAUGGACGAAAGUCUGACGGAGCAACGCCGCGUGAGUGAUGAAGGUUUUCGGAUCGUAAAACUCUGUUGUUAGGGAAG